RNAcentral lists this ribosomal RNA (494 nucleotides) under uncultured bacterium. RNAcentral's name for it is "partial 16S ribosomal RNA". It matches the Rfam family "Bacterial small subunit ribosomal RNA", at positions 28 to 507 of the family's 1533-position model. The record is from RNAcentral.
GACGAACGCUGGCGGCGUGCUUAACACAUGCAAGUCGAACGGUGAAGCGCCUUCCUUUUUGGUGGGUGUGGAUGAGUGGCGAACGGGUGAGUAACACGUGAGUAACCUGCCCCCUUCUUCUGGAUAACCGCAUGAAAGUGUGGCUAAUACGGGAUAUUCUGGGUCUGUCGCAUGAUGGGUCUGGGAAAGAUAUUGUUUCGGUGGGGGAUGGGCUCGCGGCCUAUCAGCUUGUUGGUGGGGUGAUGGCCUACCAAGGCGGUGACGGGUAGCCGGCCUGAGAGGUUGGACGGUCACACUGGGACUGAGACACGGCCCAGACUCCUACGGGAGGCAGCAGUGGGGAAUAUUGCACAAUGGGCGCAAGCCUGAUGCAGCGACGCCGCGUGAGGGAUGGAGGCCUUCGGGUUGUGAACCUCUUUCGCCAGUGAAGCAGGCCUGCCUCGUUUGUGGGUGGGUUGACGGUAGCUGGAUAAGAAGCGCCGGCUAACUACGUG